This 2237-nucleotide ribosomal RNA is filed under the name human gut metagenome. Its description in RNAcentral is "bacterial LSU rRNA". It matches the Rfam family "Bacterial large subunit ribosomal RNA", at positions 3 to 2288 of the family's 2925-position model. The record is from RNAcentral.
UCAAGCGACUAAGUGUAUGUGGUGGAUGCCUUGGCGAUUACAGGCGAAGAAGGACGUCGCAGCCUGCGAAAAGCCGUGGGGAGCUGGCAAGCGAGCACUGAUCCACGGAUGUCCGAAUGAGGGAACUCACCCGCAAGGGUAUCUUGAAGUGAAUACAUAGCUUCAAGAGGCGAACGCAGCGAACUGAAACAUCUAAGUAGCUGCAGGAAAAGAAAUCAACCGAGAUUCUGAAAGUAGCGGCGAGCGAAAUUGGAAGAGCCUGCAAGUGAUAUUGAAUUCGAUACUGGAACGGUCUGGAAAGUCCGGCUACAGAGGGUGACAGCCCCGUACGGGAAAUUGGGUUCAAGGUACUGAGCUUGCGAGAAGUAGAGCGGGACACGUGAAAUCCUGCUCGAAGAUGGGGGGACCAUCCUCCAAGGCUAAAUACUCGUAAUCGACCGAUAGCGAACCAGUACUGUGAAGGAAAGGCGAAAAGAACCCCGGGAGGGGAGUGAAAUAGAUCCUGAAACCGCAUACAUACAAACAGUAGGAGCCCGCAAGGGUGACUGCGUACCUUUUGCAUAAUGGGUCAGCGACUUACGUUCAAUGGCAAGCUUAACCGAGUAGGGGAGGCGCAGCGAAAGCGAGUCCGAACAGGGCGAUAUGAGUCGUUGGGCGUAGACCCGAAACCAGAUGAUCUAUCCAUGGCCAGGCUGAAGGUGUGGUAACACACACUGGAGGGCCGAACCGACUAGUGUUGCAAAAUUAGCGGAUGAGCUGUGGAUAGGGGUGAAAGGCUAAACAAAUCUGGAGAUAGCUGGUUCUCCCCGAAAACUAUUGAGGUAGUGCCUCGUGUAUGGCUCCAGGGGGUAGAGCACUGUUAUGGCUAGGGGGACAUGGCGUCUUACCAAACCAUGGCAAACUCCGAAUACUUGGAAGUCUGAGCACGGGAGACAGAGCACCGGGUGCUAACGUCCGGACUCAAAAGGGAAACAACCCAGACCGCCGGCUAAGGUCCCUAAUAUUGACUAAGUGGAAAACGAAGUGGGAAGGCUAAGACAGUCAGGAAGUUGGCUUAGAAGCAGCCAUCCUUCAAAGAAAGCGUAAUAGCUCACUGAUCGAGUCUUCCUGCGCGGAAGAUGUAACGGGGCUAAGUCAAUAACCGAAGCCGCGGAUUCGCAGCAAUGCGAGUGGUAGGGGAGCGUUCUGUAAGCCUGCGAAGGCGGAUCUGCGAGGACCGCUGGAGGUAUCAGAAGUGCGAAUGCUGACAUGAGUAACGUUAAAGCGGGUGAAAAGCCCGCUCGCCGCAAGCCCAAGGUUUCCUGCUCUACGUUCAUCGGAGCAGGGUGAGUCGGCCCCUAAGGUCAGGCUGAGAAGCGUAGCUGAUGGGAAGCUGGUUAAUAUUCCAGCACCGAUUUCAAGUGCGAAGGGGGGACGGAGUCCUGAAGGUCAUCCGGGUGUUGGAUAUCCCGGUUUACGAGCGUAGGAGGUUGACAGGCAAAUCCGUCAACGGAUCUCCAAGGCGAAGGAUCGAGGUUGAGAGAUCAACUGAAGUGACUGAAUGGGCUUCCAGGAAAAGCCUCUAAGCAUCAGCUUGGAAUUGACCGUACCGCAAACCGACACUGGUGGGCGAGCUGAAUAUGCUCAGGCGCUUGAGAGAACUCAGGAGAAGGAACUCGGCAAAUUGACACCGUAACUUCGGGAUAAGGUGUGCCUUUGUAGUGUGAAGGGAGAAACACCCCGAGCAUGAAGAGGCCUCAGAGAAUCGGUGGCUGCAACUGUUUACUAAAAACACAGCACUCUGCAAAGAUGAAAGUCGACGUAUAGGGUGUGAUGCCUGCCCGGUGCUGGAAGAUUAAUUGAUGGGGUGCAAGCUCCUGAUCGAAGUCCCAGUAAACGGCGGCCGUAACUAUAACGGUCCUAAGGUAGCGAAAUUCCUUGUCGGGCAAGUUCCGACCUGCACGAAUGGCAUAAUGAUGGCCACACUGUCUCCUCCUGAGACUCAGUGAAGUUGAAAUGUUUGUGAUGAUGCAAUCUCCCCGCGGCUAGACGGAAAGACCCCAUGAACCUUUACUGCAGCUUUGCAUUGGACUUUGAACCGAUCUGUGUAGGAUAGGUGGGAGGCAGUGAAGCUAGGACGCCAGUCUUAGCGGAGCCAACCUUGAAAUACCACCCUGAUUUGUUUGAGGUUCUAACCUAGGAGCGUGAUCCGCUUCGGGGACCGUGCAUGGUAGGCAGUUUGACUGGGGCGGUCUCCU